This 207-nucleotide microRNA precursor is filed under the name Oryza barthii. RNAcentral describes it as "MIR812 microRNA precursor family". It matches the Rfam family "MIR812 microRNA precursor family". The record is from Rfam by way of RNAcentral. Lineage: Eukaryota; Viridiplantae; Streptophyta; Magnoliopsida; Poales; Poaceae.
AAAAAAAAAAAACCCGGGUUUCCGUGUCCAACGUUUGACCGUCCGUUUAAUUUUUAAAAAUUAUGAAAAAAAAAUAAAAAGACAAAUCACGCAUAAAGUAUUAAUCAUGUUUUAUCAUCUAACCACAAUAAAAAUACUAAUUAUAAAAAAAUUCAUAUAAGACGGACAAUCAAACAUUGGACACGGAAAUCUAGGGUUUGUCUUUUU